AUGUUAUUUUUGCAAGAUAUCACAGUUCUGUUUCAAUUGCAGGUUGCCACAGUCCCUGAAACUCAUUAUCCUUCACUACUGGUGAAAGAAAGAAACAACCUAAGAGCGAAAUAUAUACUGGAUUUCAAGGACAUUUCUCAGGGAGCCUGUGCUCCCAUCUGUGGUGACAUUAGCAGCAAAAAAAUCUCUUCAUGUGCUUGCUACCCAUUUUGUAAAGUGAAACAGAAGUCACUCCACGAUGAAAGGCAGUACGACAGCCACAAGCAGGUAUGGAGCAGCAGGUUACAUUGGUGGGAUGAAGGGCUGUGCUCUGUGGGAAAAUGAAGCAAGGGGGCUUGCUCUGGGCUGCUUAGAACUUCACUGAGCAGGAGCACCACACCUGCCAGGUCUGUGUCUCCUGGUGAGCUCAGUGUGGCUGCAGGAAGUUCCUGCAGGUGCUUUCACAGAAAUCCUUUCCACAGAGAAAUCUACAGUGACAAGGAAAGCAGUUCUAGCCCUGGAUAUUCAGUACUGGGAUUUGUUUUCACAUGCCAUCCCAAACAUAUGGUUCCUGGACAGCAAAAUUUUGUUACAGGUAAUUUAAUUGCACAUUCAGUGUAAGUUGGAAGUACAUAAAUACACAGGACUGGUACAGAACCAUUGCCACUGAAGACAACCAAUACCAUAAGGGAAACAUCUGGUACAGGAGCAUCCAUGAGAACAAUGUUGCAUAAACACACUUAAUCCCAUUAUAACAAACAAGGCUUUCAUCACAAGAUGAGAAUUUCAAAUUCUGCACUGUCAUGGGAGGAAGACCAAGAGACCCAAGAGGAUAUCAGCAAUGCAUUACUGAUCAAAUAUCAACUUAUAAAACAGUUUAUAUAGGUGAAGUAAUUAUAUAAUGCUUAACGAUCAGGCCAGAAGGAAGUUCCUUGCCCCAACAAACUCUAAGGAUUGUUCUUAGUGUGUGCAUCAUAGGAAGCAAGAGUAGAGCCUGAUGCUUAGAGUAGUUUUUGAAGUAAAAGAUAUUUGACAGCGGGAAAGAGUGAAACCAUAACUCAUUUGACCAUGGAGCUGUACAACAUGUGCCAGAGGAGGAGCAGUAGGGCCAGAGAGACAUCAGAACAAUGGGAGAGAUAAAAGCACAUAAGAGAAGGUUUGAUAAUUUCAAAGGGUGAGGAAAUCACAGAAGCUUAGAUCUGAACACAUAUUUUGCUUGCUGGAUGAGUUUCAUUGUACAGAUGGUUACUAUUUCAUCUCAAAGUAAAGGCCAUUACACUGUAUGUGCUGGCUUCUGCUCAACAAACACAUUCUUGUUUCUUUCCUACCCCCAUGAAUUUCCCAUUUUUCUUUAAUCUGAAUUUUAAAGACACUGGAGCUUAGACAGUCCCAGCCACAGACAGAAAAGCUGGAGCUGAAAUGUAGCUCCAAGCAGUUCUCUGGUCCUCUUCUAACCAGGGAGAGCCCUGGCUAAGUACAGAGUUAUAAAAUUUCCUCUAGGUGACCAGAAGGCUUGUAUAUUUGUGUGCCUCCUGACUGAUAAUCUUCUCCAGACACUCAUACAUACAGGUAUUUAGGGAUGGCAGUAGACAUAAAACUGAAGAGCUGAAAUCUAGAAGUCUGCUACGUAACUGGCAGUGUUUCCUUCUCUCUUCUGGUCUUUUCUUUACCUGUCAGUGUUACAUAAAACAACCUUACAGGCUUGAUUCCCUUUAGUUGUCAGCUGUAGUGGAUAUUUUUAGUACAGAACUUUCAACACUAUCUUGAAACAGUGUUAAGGUUGAAACUGGCUAAGGACAGCCAGUGACAUGGACAAGUGUAACACAAUGCCAUUUUUCUAAACAAUAGACAUACUGAAACAGUUAAUCUCUCAUGGUUUAGCUAUGUUUUCAAACUAAAACUGCCAAGAGGAAAGGAAUGCAGUAAACAUCUUUGAGUAUACAAAUACUGUAGAGAUGAUGGCAGAUGACAAGUUUAUUGAAAGAUUUUAAGAAAUGCAGACGUGGAAAAUUAUCAUUUCCUAAAUUAUCUCCUUAUCUGUGACUACUUCCGUGUCUCAAGUAGCAUUCACCUUCUCAUAUGCACAUGCAAUUUGCUAACUUUUGCUAAGAGAGAAGUUAUUUCAUGUCGAGCCUGUAACAGAAAGACACAGAAGAGAAUCACAAUAAAUACACUACUGCUAUUUAGACCUCUGGCA
Long non-coding RNA from Cyanistes caeruleus (blue tit), 2176 nucleotides. Lineage: Eukaryota; Metazoa; Chordata; Aves; Passeriformes; Paridae. The record is from Ensembl.